GGCCAAGUUUUUAAGGGCGCACGGUGGAUGCCUUGGCACCAGGAACCGAUGAAGGACGUGGGAGGCCGCGAUAGGCCCCGGGGAGCUGUCAACCGAGCUUUGAUCCGGGGGUGUCCGAAUGGGGAAACCCGGCAGUCGUCAUGGGCUGUCACCCGCUGCUGAACACAUAGGCAGUGUGGAGGGAACGCGGGGAAGUGAAACAUCUCAGUACCCGCAGGAAGAGAAAACAACCGUGAUUCCGGGAGUAGUGGCGAGCGAAACUGGAUGAGGC
RNAcentral lists this ribosomal RNA (271 nucleotides) under Streptomyces coffeae. Its description in RNAcentral is "partial 23S ribosomal RNA". It matches the Rfam family "Bacterial large subunit ribosomal RNA", at positions 1 to 269 of the family's 2925-position model. The record is from RNAcentral. Lineage: Bacteria; Bacillati; Actinomycetota; Actinomycetes; Kitasatosporales; Streptomycetaceae.